GCCAGCAGCCAUGUCACCCUGCAGUGCUCAUCUGACAGGCCCACUGAAGCUCAGCAGGUGUGAGCCUGGUCAGUACCUGGAUGGGAGACCUCCUGGGAAAAACUAAGGUUAUUGCUGGAA
RNAcentral lists this ribosomal RNA (120 nucleotides) under Lepisosteus oculatus (spotted gar). Lineage: Eukaryota; Metazoa; Chordata; Actinopteri; Semionotiformes; Lepisosteidae. The record is from RNAcentral.